AUUGGUUGUGUGGAGAUAUGCAGCUCAGGACCAUGUUGGAAGAUUUAUGGUGGGGGGAAUGCACCCAAGCCAAGGUUAUUAUGCCAAUCACAUAAUAUCCGACAGCCACCAAGAUACACUUGACAAGUCACACCCACACAUCAGAACAAAGAGAGACACCCCUGUAAAAGGCAGUUUCGACCCCCAUGUAUAUAUUGAUGCCAUUGGGGUAACAAGGGGGGUGCCAAAUGAAUUCAAGGCGAGGGAUGAGGUUUCUGCAGGAUUUUAAUCCAUUCUCCCAAUCAUGACUGACAAUAAUAAUCUAAAUUUGAUUAAUUAUAUCUAUAAUAACCAACAAUGAUUUGUAAACUAUACAAGAGAUCCCCUUCAUGGGAUUGCUGAGCAACUUCAGGCAACAUCCCAGAUGACUUUCCAGAAUAGGAUGGCCCAAGACAUGAUCCUAGCGGAAAAAGGAGGAGUAUGUGAAAUACUCCCUGACACCAUGAAAUGUUGCACCUACAUUCCAGACAAUACAGGCCUGAAUGGCAAGGUGACCCUGGCAAAAGAGAAAUUAGAAAGUCUCUCGGAAGAAUUAAAGAGGAACUCUGGGGUCACAGAUCCUGGUUUGGGUGGAUGAGUGGAUGGCAGAAAGUUCUCGCCCAAAUAGGUGUGGCAGUCCUGGUAAUUUUGAUUAUUCUUGCUCUCAUUGUCUGUUGUGUUCUCCCCUGUGUUAAGAAAUGUAUACAGAAAACAGCAGAUCAGGCCACACCAACUUUUAUUCAUCGAGAGAUAGAUGAGGAGGAUUAUGAUAAACCCUAUGCCCCAUUGCAGUCCUUCACCGCCAAGUAUACAUUGUUUUAGGCAUAGUAGGGAUAGCGUCUGUCUUUACAGGCACAGUCUGGAGCGAGGGGGGUGGUGGACAAGCCUCUGCUCGUCUAAUGCGCAGCACCAAAAGAGUUUGAGGCCUGUUGGACAGAUGAGUUGUAGGUUAUUAGGAACAGCUUUUAGGGACAGAAAUAGCUACUAGAGACUGUUGUUAGUAAAUAGUCAUUUUAAG
Molecule: non-coding RNA, 1036 nt
Organism: Pelobates cultripes (western spadefoot toad)
Lineage: Eukaryota; Metazoa; Chordata; Amphibia; Anura; Pelobatidae
Source: the annotation of a GenBank genome assembly